GCCUUGGUAACUCAGUGGUCAGAGCGUGUUGGUGUUAAUCCAAAGUUGUGAGUUCAAUUCUCACCUGAGAGCU
Ciona savignyi (Pacific transparent sea squirt) is the source of this 73-nucleotide non-coding RNA. Lineage: Eukaryota; Metazoa; Chordata; Ascidiacea; Phlebobranchia; Cionidae. The record is from Rfam.